Lolium perenne is the source of this 569-nucleotide non-coding RNA. The record is from RefSeq and is a predicted model, not a curated record. Lineage: Eukaryota; Viridiplantae; Streptophyta; Magnoliopsida; Poales; Poaceae.
CGGGCGGCGGCAACCCUAGGCGAGGCGACCCGACGGAAAGCAGAGCAGGCGAGCGGCGGCGAGCGGCAGCAAAGAAGGCUGCAGACUGCAGGGGACCGCAAAGGCGCGGCACCAACGGGCCAGGACGCCAGUCGCCAGAUGACGUACUAUGUCGUCUACCACGGCAGGGUUCCUGGAGUCUACGAGGACUGGGAAGACUGUAGGAGGCAGGUCCACCGUUUCAGCGGCAACAGCUACAAGGGGUACACCACUUUGGAGGAGGCGGAAACUCGAUACGCCAACUUUCGAGCGGGACAGAGGAGGGAGAUGUGGAGGACCCGUUUCAUCGUGAUGAUGCUUGCCGCUACCGCCUCUCUAGUUUACUAUGUCAUUGUUGUUUAGCUAGGUCGUCGACUGGACUUGUAUGUAUUUGUGUAAUAUGUGCUACUUCGAGUGGUGAUGUUUGAACCAUAUGGUCGACACUUGUGUUAUUGAUGCAUGCAUGCAUGUUAUGGACAUUUCGGGACUUUCUAAUGAUGUGUAUCUUGCUAAUGAUGUAUAUCUUGCUGUCAUUAUGGUAUUUGCCUGUA